GGUCAAGCGAACAAGUGCAUGUGGUGGAUGCCUUGGCGAUCACAGGCGAUGAAGGACGCGGUAGCCUGCGAAAAGCUUCGGGGAGCUGGCAAACAAGCUUUGAUCCGGAGAUGUCCGAAUGGGGAAACCCGGCCCGAAUGGGUCAUCCCACACUGAAUCCAUAGGUGUGGGAAGCGAACGCGGCGAACUGAAACAUCUAAGGUACCAAUCACUAGUGAAUUC
This 222-nucleotide ribosomal RNA is filed under the name Cupriavidus necator. RNAcentral's name for it is "23S ribosomal RNA". It matches the Rfam family "Bacterial large subunit ribosomal RNA", at positions 1 to 231 of the family's 2925-position model. Lineage: Bacteria; Pseudomonadati; Pseudomonadota; Betaproteobacteria; Burkholderiales; Burkholderiaceae. The record is from RNAcentral.